ACAGUGGUAUCUCAAUGGUUAAGUCGUUGGUCUACUGAUCAAAAGAUUGUGAGUUCAAAUCCCAGUCACUGUU
Ameiurus melas (black bullhead) is the source of this 73-nucleotide non-coding RNA. The record is from the annotation of a GenBank genome assembly. NCBI's taxonomy places the organism in Eukaryota, Metazoa, Chordata, Actinopteri, Siluriformes, Ictaluridae.